Molecule: long non-coding RNA, 796 nt
Organism: Papaver somniferum (opium poppy)
Lineage: Eukaryota; Viridiplantae; Streptophyta; Magnoliopsida; Ranunculales; Papaveraceae
Exons: 4
Source: RefSeq, a predicted model, not a curated record
UCCUCCCUCUCACUCUCGGAGGGAAAAAACUCUGAAGAAAAAAAACUCUUCCGCAUUUGAAUCUCUCCCGCCAUUGAAACCAGAGGAAGCUAGUUGCAGGCAUUGGAUUAUGGUGUGAAGACGCUUUGGGAAAGAAACAACAAAGGGCGGUGGAGGUAGAUGAAAAUGGACUUCCAAUGUCGAGGAAUUCAACUCAACUUGGCCACCUGAAGGGCGCGUUGGUUCAUACUCUUGUCCCCAUCUCCUACAAAACCUGGAAGGAGGUGCUAGAAACUUACAAAAAUGAUGUCUGGAAUGAACUACAUAUACCGUUUCUAUUGCCUGAUACUUCUAAAACAACUGUGGUAAAGGGGAUGUCUGAUCCAUGGAGGAGAGGUAAGUGGUAGUUACGAACAACAUAUUAUGACCCAUAUCCCAUUUAUGAAGCAAGGACCUCACGUACUCCUCCAAAUGUAAGUGAUGAAGACUGGAAAUCAUUCUGUCGCAACGAGGAGGAUGAAGAAGUUCAGAAAAAUAGAUUGGAUAAUAAGAAGAAAAGGGAGAAAUAUGUGCACCUCAUAUGAUUAAGAGGGUCAAACUGUUUUUUUGGAGAUGUUACGAAGAUAUCUAAGACAUCAUUUUUCGCGUAUAUCAACAAUAAACAUAUAUGGCUUUUACUUUUUAUGCUAAUGUUCGGACGACUUUUUACCUUUUUUUGCUAAUUUUCACACUUGUGCAUUUGUGCAUAAGAAGACCAUGAUGUAGUAUGCGGCAGAUUCUUAUGCAACUAAUCAUAAGGAAGUAUUUUACUUUUAAC